RNAcentral lists this transfer RNA (77 nucleotides) under Candidatus Altimarinota bacterium. RNAcentral's name for it is "Candidatus Gracilibacteria bacterium tRNA-Ile". It matches the Rfam family "tRNA". From Rfam's summary of the family: Transfer RNA (tRNA) molecules are approximately 80 nucleotides in length. Their secondary structure includes four short double-helical elements and three loops (D, anti-codon, and T loops). Lineage: Bacteria; Candidatus Altimarinota. The record is from RNAcentral. RNAcentral also lists the same sequence under 1 other name.
GGGCGUAUAGCUCAGUUGGUUAGAGCGCACGACUGAUAAUCGUGAGGUCGGAAGUUCAAAUCUUCCUAUGCCCACCA